Molecule: long non-coding RNA, 6828 nt
Filed under: Equus caballus (horse)
Lineage: Eukaryota; Metazoa; Chordata; Mammalia; Perissodactyla; Equidae
Description: lncRNA (ENSECAG00000054904.1)
Source: RNAcentral
GCACAGAUCAAAGAAAUAGAAUAAAGAAUCUAGAAAUAGACCCACCCAAAUAUGGUCAAUUAUUUUUAACAGAGACACAACAGCAACUCAGCAGAGAAUGGAGAGUGUUUUCAAAUGUUUCUGCAACAAGUGGAUGUCCACAUGCAAAUAAAUAAAUAAAACUCAACCUAUACUUCACAGCACGUAAAAACUAGACUCAAAAUAAAUUAUAGAUUUGAACGUAAAAUCUACAACUAUAAAACUUAUAGACAAAAAUAAAUGAGAUAAGCACUGUGAUGUAACAAAGAGUUUUUAGAUACAACCCCAAAAGUAUGCUCUAUUAAAGAAAAACACAAUAAACCAUACUUCUCCAACAAUAAAAACUUCUACUCUGCAAAACACACUGUUGAGAGAAUGAAAACACAAGCCACAAACUGGCAGAAAAUGUUUUCAAGUCACAUAUCUAAGAAGGACAUGUAUCCAGAAUAAAUAACAUAACUCUCAAAACUCAAUAAUAAGCAAAAACCAACCCAAUAAAAAGGGACAAAAGAUUUCAACAGCCACCUCAACAAAGAAGAUACAGAUAGGAAAUAAACACCAAAAAAAUACUCAGUAUCAUUAGUCACUAGGGAAACGCAAAUUAAAACCACAAUGAAAUACCACUAUACACCUUUUAUAAUGUCAAAAAUAAUUUUUUUAAAGAACUUAAAAUAUUAAGCACAGUCAGAGGAUGUAAAACAAUGGGAGCUCUCAUACAUUGCUGUUGGUAAUGCAAAAUGGCACAGUCACAUUGGAAAACCAAACAUUAUGAAAAAGUAGAAAGAAGAAAAUACAUUGUCAAGCAUUUUAUAAAAAUUGAAAUGCAAAUGGCACAUAAACUCGUAGGAAAAUGUUUGGCCCCAGUAUUAAGAGAAGAAAUAAAAAGUAAAAUAUCGAGGAAAUACUGUUCUUCAGGAUUCACCACUGUCACAGACUUUUUUAAAUAAUGGUACUCAAUAUUUGUGAGGAUUCAGUAAGACAUAUAUUCUCAUAAACUACUGGUGGCAAUAUAAUUUGUUAAACCUCUCCAGAACAUGAUUUGUAAAUAUCCUGUCAUGAGCUAUAAAAAAUUUCAUCUUCUUUGAAUCAGUAAUUUUACUUCUAUGAAUGGAUCCUAAGGAAGUAAUCAAAAAUGAAGACAGAUUUAUAUGUAGAGAAGUUCAUCAUGGCAUUAUUUUCAAGUCUGAAACAGUGGAAACAAUCUUAAUACACAAGAGGCUUAUAUUCAAUUAUUGCACAACUAUGAAACAGAAUAUUAUUCAGCCAUUAAAAAUAUUUAUGAAGCAUUUUUGAUGACGUGGGAAAAUACUUCCAAUGCAAUGAUAACUAAAAAAAAGGCAGAGUAGAAAACUGUAUAUAGUAGGACACUGAUAAUAUAUACAUAACUAUGUAUAUAUGAAUAAUUUUAAAGUUAGGAUUAUUUAUAUGUGGAUAUAUCUGUGAGAGACUACAAAAAAAUACAACCAUUUAGACUGCCCAACUAGGCUUUGUUAUUCUAUUUUUAAAAUAUUGUUUGAAAUCUUUCUUAAAUCUUCUGGUUUUUUCACAUUAAAAAAAUAAAUUGUACUACUUUUAUAAUGAGAAAAAAAUCACCGUUUUAAAGUAAUGUUUUCCUUUGUACUGUAUCAUAAAAUCUGGUUUUUAUGUCUACUUCAGCUGGAGACCCACACUGUUUCAUGACAUAAUUGUGUCUAAAGGAGAAAUGUCAAGGAUCUAGUUUUCCUCGGGAUUAUAUGAUACAAAGAUCUCCACUCCCUAGGUAGCUAUGAUCUCUUAGUAGCAAAGAUAAUUUCUGCUUGUAGAGUCUUAGGAUUUUAUUGAUCACAUAAUGUCCAUCAACAUCACCAAAGUAUGUGUUCCACUCAAACCUGACUCAGAGAGAAAUUUCACAAAUUAUUAUAGGUUACAGUAUUAAAAUAUCUUAUCCAAUAUCUUCUAAAUAUCUCCAUCACCAUAUAAUUCAUACCCCAUAGUGAACAAAAUGGAAUGGAAAGCGUGUCAUUUCAUUUUAUUGGUAGAAUGAGGUAAAGUCAAAGCUUCCAGUCACUGUAGACUUCUUGACACCUCAGAUAUUACGCUUCUAUACAUGCCAAGUUACCUAAAUUUUACGAUCAGAUUCCUGUAUAGGAAUGCUAUAAAAUGUUGUAGAUUAAGAAAAUGCAAAAUUUAGGAGAUUUUUUAAGCAAUUAACUGAGAAGAAAGAAGAAUAAACAAUUAACUAGACAGGAAUGGUGCAAGCUAAAAAUAACACUGCAUUGGAUACUUCUGGGAAAAUUCACCUUGAAGAAAUCACAGCAGAUAACUGAUUCAGCCACAAAUGAAGGGCCAAGAAAUAGACUUUAAAUACUUUUGACCAUAAGUAAGAAUAUUAUGUCUUUAUGUAAUUAAUAAUACAAGGCAGGAUAUAUCAUUAAAGACUUAUGAGGUGACUCUCAAGGUUUGUUUUUACUGGGGAGGAUUCUGUAGUUGUGUUGAUUCAUUUAAAGUGAAUGAGAGGAUCUUCUGGUUUCCUGUUAGGAUGUAGAAAAUUGUAGAAAGCAUCAUUUUAACCAUGACAACAAGACCAACAAAAUGCCAGAUGGUUGCCAAAUUUAAAACUCAUCUUGAACCCAACAGAAAGCUGAAGUUUCAGGGCAAGAAAAUCUAAGGAAAUAGAGGUUCCUUUAAGGAGAGGUGGGGCCUGAGGGCUUCUUAACUAGGGUAGACAUUUCCAGACACCAGUAAGAAGAAUUCAGCUAAUAUUUUUAACCAAUUACAAAAGACCAAAUAUGGGCUAGAGAGAGAACCCCUGUGAGACAAAGACCUAAAGGGAAUUUGCACCCACCUGCAGGCUAUACCCACAUACCUGACUGGGUGCUCACAAAAGAGGUAGAGGUAGGGCAAGAGUUUUAACAAAGCAUCUCAUAAGGGAAUAGUAAUCACCAAGGGAAAGGAUAUGAAUUCCUCUUUUGGAUCCUUCUCUAUUUUCCCUCUUGAACUAAAGGCUUAAGACAUUGGGGAACAGCAGCAAACUCUGUUGCCCUUAAGGUACUGGUAAAAACUCAUUGUGGCCAAGGAAAGAAAACAGAACAAAACCAUUACUGAUGAGGAGGGGUGGGAAUAUGUGCUGGGGACAGACCUACAGAUCACGGCAUGUUAGCUUAAUUGGUGACUAGAUUGGCUCCAGUGCCCAACUGGUAAAUGCCCAGCAGAAGGAAAGUUGUGCUAAUUUUCCAGACAUAAGAAUUAGUUACAUCAGUCUCUACUUUCCUGUACAAGUUAUCUGACUUUCAACAAAAAUUACGUGUCAUAAAAAAGGAAAAAACCCACAUUGUCAAGAGACAAAUCAAUCACCAGUAGGUUCAGAGAUGGCAACUGUGGGAAAUAUUAGAUAGGGAACUUAACCAUGAUUAAUAUCUUAAAUGAUCUAGUGGAAAAGAUGGACAACAUGCAUGAUCAGAUGGUUAAUUUCAGCAGAGAGAUGGAAACUAUAAGAGUUAAAUGGAAAUGCUAGACAUGAAAAAUACAUAAGAUAUCUAAAAUGCCCUUUAGCUUCAUCAGUAGAUUCAACACAGGCAAGAAAGGAAUCAGUAAACUUAAAGAUAGGUCCAUAGGAAUGACCCAAACUGAAACACAGAGGGGUUUAGGACAGGGAGAGGUAGGCAGGGAUAAGAGGACUCUUCAAAGUAGUUUGAGAGCUCUUGGGAGAUGUCCCGAUUGUCUUGAUAGGGCAACUUAAACCAUGUAAACAAAAUUCUCACCGGGCUUGUGCUUUGAGUGGUUCUUUGCCCCCGUUCAUCCAGUCCCAACAAAAGCAGUGUAAGCGCUUCAAGAGUCCCAUCCCUGCCUGUAAGUAGAAACUAACCUUUGGUUCCCAGUGUCAUGCAGACCCCGUCUUUUUUCCCAUCCCUCAGCAAGGCCUCUAGCUCAUAUCAGUAGCAUUGGUAUGGAUACUCCAUAGCUGAGCUCGAGGCUCCUAACAGUAAACCACUUUGUUAUAUGGAAAAUUGGGUCUCCCCUACCUCUCCCAGCUCAGCCAAUAAAUAAAGCAGUGCAGGUCCAGUUUCCUCUACUGGGGCACUUUUCUCAGCACUUGCACUACCAUUGACUCAAAUACAGCUUACUUCUGUGCACUCUACUUCUUCUAUGCUCAUAAAUUUAUUCUCAAUAAAUACUAUCACUGUUUCCAUUAUGAAUGCAUUAUGGUGUGGGUUACCAUGUACCCUACCUGAUGUUUGGGAUCUACUAUGGGGUCCCUGCCAGUGCCAGUUGAUUUGGUAUUAUGGUUUUUUUAAAUUAUGGAAAGAGGCUAACUGGAAAGGGCUAUAAGACAUCCCCAUGGGAGCAGUGGUAAGGUCACUUGGCUGAGGUUGGAUGGUUGGUGACAGGAUGGUUCCUGAGGGACAUGGCAGAAGGUGGAAGUGCUAUGAGAGGGCUAUGAGGGUAGAUAACAUGGUUCAUGAAUUGAUGCCCUGGUUACUCUGCAUUUGUAAGUAUUUUUGAGCCCUUGGGAGAAGGGAGAAGGGAGAAAACAGGAAAGACUCUCUCACUGCAUCCAGGGCAGCUGGUAGAACCAAUGACUUAUCCUGGAGAUGCCACAGGGAAAGACCCCUACCACUACCUCCAGUGUUGCCAACAGGACAAGACACAUGGCCACUUCAGAGACAGGGGAAGUUAUUCCAGAAGGGAAAGAAGAAUGGCUGGUAUUGCAGCUAUGGAGGCAGUUUGAAACUAAUUUCAUAUAGCACAUUAUACAGGGGACUAAAGGAGGCCAUCACUGGAAAGAGGUACCAGAUUACAUAUGAGAUCUAGCUCCCUACAUGAGUGCUAUCAUCAACAUGCAAAGGGGCCUUUAAAAGCUUAGGAUAUUCUUUUUCAUGAAGAAGGGAUGACAGUUUUAUUGAGUGAAGUUGCAUGAUAAGAGACAGGGUGAAUUAACAUAUGACCCCUGGCUAGAGAAUUAUGUAGGUUUAUUAAAAAUGGUAGGAAAGGCUAUUGCUGUCCAAUUCUUUAUCAAGUACUUGGUGCAUUUGGGAAUACAUACUCUUAUUGAGAAAUAUCCCUGAGGUUAUAAAUAUAAACUGGAUUACCUCACUAAGGUAUUUGCCACUUUGAGACAGUUGCUGUGUUACCAUAGUUAUAUGAGAGCUGGGACACUGAGGGAGAAUUUCUCACAAUACACCCUUGACACAGAGAAUGAAAGUUGAUUUAAUAUGGGCAUGUCCUUCUCAAAUGGACAAUGUCUUUACAUUUUCUUUUUUCACUGGGUGAAACUAAUGUUUCCCUACCUCAAAGGAGAAAAUAAUGAAAAGGGGCCCCAGAAUGUGUCUCAGGUUUCUCUCCAAGAUGAAAAAAAUUGGGGGAGCCAAGAAAGAAAAGACAGAGGAUCUUGUCACAGUUACUGUGGCUGCCUAACAAAUGACUCCUAAACUUAGUGUUUUAAAACAAUGACAACAUUUACUUUGCUUAUAAAUCUACAAUUUGAGCAGGGCUUGGUGGGGAUAAUUUAGUUUCUGCUCCAGCUGGCAUCAGCUGUGAGCACAAAAGGCUGGAAUCAUCUGAAAGCGCUCUCACUCACAUGUCUGGAAGGUGUUGCUCGAACCUCAGCUGGGGCUAUUAGCCAGAAAACUUACAUGUGGUUUCCCUAUGUGGCCUGGGCUGCCUCACAACAUGAUGACUGGGUUUCAAAAGCUCCAAGGGCAAAAGUACAGACUGAGAGCCAGGAUGGGAACUUUAUCAUCUUUUCUAACCUAGCUUUCUAAGUCAUGUAACAUCACUUCGACUGCAUUCUACUAAUUAGAAGCAGGUAUCUAAAACUGAUUUAUAUUCAAAGGGUAGGGAAUUAAACUCCACUUUUUGUGGGAGGAUUCAAAGAAUUUGUGAAUAUGUUUUAAAACUACUACCAUCUGUCCACUGGCCACAAAUUAUCUACAUUCCUUCCAUAUGCAAAAUACACUCAGACCUUCCCAAGCUCCUCCACAGGUUUCAUUUAUUACAGCACCAGACUCAGGUUCACCAUCCAUUUUACUUGGAUCUAGAUGUGGAUGAAGUGUUGCAGGUGUGGUUCCUUGAGUUCAGCUGCUCAUGUACAGCUUCUGUUGAGUUGAACACCUCUGAACUGAAAAGACCAGUUUUCUGCUCCAACUCACCCAACAUAUGUUGGUGGGAGAGACAUAGGACAACGAGUUUUCGACCAACAUGGGAAAAUGGGAGGUGCACAGGAGUCACUGGUCCAUAGCAAUACUGAAAUAUGGCCAACCACAUGUUUCCAGUUCAUCAAUCAAGUCUCAGUCACACUGCCUUGGAGCGAUUCACUUUGCCCUUCCCCUCUGUGCUCUUGUCCUCUUUCCUAUUAGUUAACUAUUGCUACAUAAUAAGUAAUUCCAAAACUUAGUGGUUUAAAACAAUGAUCACCAUUAUCUCUCUUUCUAGGGGUCAGAAAUUCAGGAGCAGCUGGAUGGCUCUGGUUCAAGAUCUCUUGCAAGGCUGCAAUCAGAUAUUGGCCAGGGAUGUAGCCGUCUGUAGGCUUGGAAUCCACUUCUCAGGUGGCUUCCUUGCGUGGUGUUGGUGUAAUGGUUGGGUUUUGGAUGUGUAUUAUGUGUAUGAUCCCCGGCCUCGUGACUCAUAAUCCAGUUGGAGUUAAAGAUCAUCAUCAAGGGGGCAGGAUAAAACAGCAGGACAGUUUUCCAGCUUCUGUGAAACAAGUUGUUAAAGUGUGGUUUCCUCAUUUGGCUGGAGUCAGUGUGAAUAACCAGAAAAUGUCCAAAUUAAAGUACAAAGGCAAAUAAUAAAUUUCUGCCUUGCUCAGCCCUCUAUAAGUUGAAUUGGGUG